Molecule: unclassified non-coding RNA, 469 nt
Filed under: Hevea brasiliensis (rubber tree)
Lineage: Eukaryota; Viridiplantae; Streptophyta; Magnoliopsida; Malpighiales; Euphorbiaceae
Source: RNAcentral
UGAGAUGUAGUUUUAAUGAACUGAGAUUGAGAGUUAUCAUUGAGAAGUGGGACUUCCUGAUGUUCUUUUUCUUGUGGGUGAGGUUCAACAGGCUGAUUAGUAGUAAUGGGAAGUGGGGUUUCCUUGCCAUCCUCAUUUGCCUUGAUUUCCUUAUCAAAAUAGGAUGUAUACUCGACAUUGAGAUCGAAAGUCGAAAGGGGCUUACCUGAAACCAAAUCCGGUUGGAGUGCCCAGACCCGCUUCUUGGCUGGCAAGCAAUAAGUAGCAGCGGAAGCAACGUCAGUGGGUUCAGGAAGAAGGGAAUGUCGGGACUCCUUUCGCUUCUUAGCGGGAAGUUGCAAUGAGAUGGGGGCGUUAUUUUCUUUGUUUUCUUGCAGCUGCUGCAAGAGCCUGAAUCUUUUGAGAGGAGGUAAGGCUUGAAAAUUGCCGUCCAUUAUUGGUACUUCUCUGAGAGAGAGAGAGAGAGAUG